UACGUAGGCAGCAAGCGUUGUUCGGAGUUACUGGGCGUAAAGGGUGUGUAGGCGGUUCUUUAAGUUUGCUGUGAAAUCUCCCGGCUUAACCGGGAGGGUGCGGUGAAUACUGAGGGACUAGAGUACGGGAGAGGAAAGUGGAAUUCCUGGUGUAGUGGUGAAAUGCGUAGAUAUCUGGAGGAACACCGGUGGCGAAGGCGGCAUCCUGGACCGGCAUUAACGCUGAGGCGCGAAAGCCAGGGGAGCAAACGGG
RNAcentral lists this ribosomal RNA (253 nucleotides) under uncultured bacterium. RNAcentral describes it as "partial 16S ribosomal RNA". It matches the Rfam family "Bacterial small subunit ribosomal RNA", at positions 524 to 776 of the family's 1533-position model. The record is from RNAcentral.